AUUGAACGCUGGCGGCAUGCCUUACACAUGCAAGUCGAACGGUAACGCGGGGCAACCUGGGCGACGAGUGGCGAACGGGUGAGUAAUGCAUCGGAACGUACCCAGUAGUGGGGGAUAGCCCGGCGAAAGCCGGAUUAAUACCGCAUACGACCUAAGGGUGAAAGCGGGGGACCGUAAGGCCUUGCGCUAUUGGAGCGGCCGAUGUCAGAUUAGGUAGUUGGUGGGGUAAAGGCCUACCAAGCCUUUCGAUCUGUAGCUGGUCUGAGAGGACGACCAGCCACACUGGGACUGAGACACGGCCCAGACUCCUACGGGAGGCAGCAGUGGGGAAUUUUGGACAAUGGGCGAAAGCCUGAUCCAGCCAUGCCGCGUGCGGGAA
Molecule: ribosomal RNA, 379 nt
Filed under: uncultured bacterium
Lineage: Bacteria
Description: bacterial SSU rRNA
Rfam family: Bacterial small subunit ribosomal RNA
Source: RNAcentral